CCAUUUCACGCUGCAGAAUUUGGAGAAGGGGAAAAACAAUUAACACUUCCAAACCCUUGGUCAAAAAUUCAAUCCACCAUAACUUCUUGCUCCGAGCUCCGAUCGUCACACCGUUUGCGGCCACGCGAUUACGGCGUCAAGCUCUACAAUUCUAUAGGAUCAAUUUCUUUGGUUCAAGUUUAGCUUGAGGAACUUGUGGGCCUUUACUCAAUCAAGAUAUACUUAAGAUGCAGGUCGAGCGGCACUUCGGUAGGCGUAUGAAGUUUCUGUGGCGAAGUGGUUUACUUUGGGAUCCUCUUUUGUUACUUUGAUGUAUAUAUAUGUAUAGGUCCUCCUCUUGUUUGUAAGGAUACUUUGUUUAUGUACCUCUUAGAGGUUUUAUGGAGAACUAGGGUUUUUGAACAUGUUCUUUUGGGUUAUUAUUAUUAUUAUUAUAUAUACACGUACCUAUAUGUUCUCCGGCUAGCCUUGGCUUCGCAGGCUGAGUUAGGAGCUUGUUAUUUUGUAUUA
This is a non-coding RNA of Arachis ipaensis, 510 nucleotides long. Lineage: Eukaryota; Viridiplantae; Streptophyta; Magnoliopsida; Fabales; Fabaceae. The record is from RefSeq and is a predicted model, not a curated record.